RNAcentral lists this small RNA (31 nucleotides) under Bombyx mori (domestic silkworm). RNAcentral describes it as "ovarian small RNA-10053". Lineage: Eukaryota; Metazoa; Arthropoda; Insecta; Lepidoptera; Bombycidae. The record is from RNAcentral.
AAAGACGAUGAAACUUCCCAGCAACUGGGGU